Molecule: ribosomal RNA, 496 nt
Filed under: uncultured bacterium
Lineage: Bacteria
Description: partial 16S ribosomal RNA
Rfam family: Bacterial small subunit ribosomal RNA
Source: RNAcentral
GAUGAACGCUGGCGGCGUGCCUAAUACAUGCAAGUCGAGCGAACAGACGAGGAGCUUGCUCCUCUGACGUUAGCGGCGGACGGGUGAGUAACACGUGGAUAACCUACCUAUAAGACUGGGAUAACUUCGGGAAACCGGAGCUAAUACCGGAUAAUAUAUUGAACCGCAUGGUUCAAUAGUGAAAGACGGUUUUGCUGUCACUUAUAGAUGGAUCCGCGCCGCAUUAGCUAGUUGGUAAGGUAACGGCUUACCAAGGCAACGAUGCGUAGCCGACCUGAGAGGGGGGAGGGCCACACGGGAGAGGAGACCCGGUCCCGGCACCGAGGGGGGGCCGCGGGUGGGAAUCGUCCCCAAAGGGGGGAAGGCUGAACGAGGAACGGCAGCGUGAUGAAGAAGGGUUUCGGGUGGGAAAACGCCUUUAUGGGGGAAAAACAAAUUGGUAAGUAACGAUGCGCGUUUGAAGGUAAUCGAAAAAGAAAGCCCGGGUAAACAAGGG